CGGACCGGCGCACGGGUGCGUAACGCGUAUGCAACCUACCCAUAACAGGGGGAUAACACUGAGAAAUUGGUACUAAUACCCCAUAACAUCAGGACCGGCAUCGGUUCUGGUUGAAAACUCCGGUGGUUAUGGAUGGGCAUGCGUUGUAUUAGCUGGUUGGUGAGGUAACGGCUCACCAAGGCGACGAUCAGUAGCCGGCCUGAGAGGGUGAACGGCCACAUUGGGACUGAGACACGGCCCAA
This 242-nucleotide ribosomal RNA is filed under the name uncultured bacterium. Its description in RNAcentral is "partial 16S ribosomal RNA". It matches the Rfam family "Bacterial small subunit ribosomal RNA", at positions 91 to 334 of the family's 1533-position model. The record is from RNAcentral.